UAAACGGAUUGUCUCGUGAGAUUAAUCCGAAAUACGGAUAAACGGAUCCAAAUACUUAUAAAAAGAAAAAAAGAAAAAAGAAAAAAAGAAAAAAGAAAAAAAGAAAAAAGAAGACUCGAAUCUACUAAUACACAUAACACAACCACUAACUCGAGAUAUAAAAAAUAUUUCUUAUUAGUUUAAUUAAUUAUUUAAGCAAUUAAAAAUUAAAUAAGGUCACGAAAUAAAUUAAUAUAUGAUAUGCGUGGCAGAAAUUUUGUAUGUUAGUAGUCGGAUUUUGCAGGGGCAAACGGUCUACUUCAAUAAAUUUUCAUGUAAAGGGGUAUUUUGGGUUGAGAAACGGACACACCGAUUCACUGCUGACGUGUCCUCCGGUGCGAGAGGUGUCUGUGAAUCUGCCUGCAACAGAUCUCACCCAACCCCCUCUUCUUCUUCUUCCUCUUCUUCACUUCCCACUAUACACUCUUUUGCUCUUACUCCCUAUUCCUCUGAAGCUCUCUCUCUCUCUGUUAAGCGGAGUUUCCUGUGUUUUGGACUGGGAUAUCACUUUUCUCUCAAAGGGAACCUCGUGAGCUUCAUGGGAAGCUCGCUCAGAGAUCUGGGCUUUAAUUUUCCAACCGGCAUAUUGGAUUCUGCUUUUCCCCUCUUCUGAUUCAGAUACCGCCCGCCAUUUUUUUAGGGGUUUAAGGGGAGUGUACGGACGAUCUUUUGAUUCUCCAAUGGGUUCUUUUGUCUAACAUUUCUCUGUUCGGGUUUUUGCUUGCUGAAGCUGGAUUGAGCUUGGCGCAGUAUGCAUUGGAGUCUGCUGAUUAGGAUUCAGUUGGAGUAGCAUUUAUUAUUUCUGCUACUUCCACUUGAAUCUCCUGCGAUUAGCUUCAUGGUUUACUCGACCCUGGUUCUAUGGGGUGGGUGAUUGGGAGUGGUUCGUCGAUGGAUUUUCCUUGUUUCUCAUUUUCUACUUGGCGGAAACUCGACGAGGUUGGAAUAUAAUGUUUGACGUGGAUUCGUUGAAAUAGAAUUAGAAUUUAACUUUCCUUGUUAAGAUUGAAGGUCCUCUGUUUGCCUAAAUUGCGGGAUAAUUUGGAACUCAUUUGUCAUAGUUGUGGAGAUUUGACCUCGCGUUGUCUGAUUGAUAAUGCAAUAUAUUUUGUUUCGUUUCCUUAAUUGUCAAGAAAUUUCCCGACCAAAUGCAUUUAUGUUCUCAUCAUGACUAGAGCUGUCCGCGAUAGAAUUCUCAAGGAGGCAAAUGGUGAUAUUAGCGAUCAUCUACGUAACCACAUUCACUUGACGAACUGCAUUCACUUGAAGAAUCACAUGCACAAGCACAGCCCAAUCUUGGCUGACAGGUCUCUUAUGAGGGAUCUCAUUGUCCUUCAGAGGUCGCGAUCUCUCAGGGACCCUUCUGCAAGUCCUCCCUCAUGGCAGUCUCCCUCAAUAACUGAUCUGCCAUCAAGGAUGGGCGAAAAUAAUGCUGUGAUUCGUGAAGGAAGAAGGUCGGUAGGAACCGAGAGUCGAAGGGUAGGUGGUAGGACAAUAUCCGGAAGUUCUCCACCCUUGGGAAGUUUUGCAACAUCAAAAGUUGCUCCGGCUGAGGUGAAUGUGGCCGUGGAUGGGGUGACAGCAAUUAGUGAGCACAGUGUUAAGAGUGACAUCCGAGAUGGUAGAAGAAUUCGGAGAGAAGAGUCAAGUAAGAGGAGUGAUAGAAACAGUGCUUUGGAUGGCAAUGAAGAAUCUUCACCUGUUCAUGAUGCGCAUCUUCUGCAUGAGGUUAUUUCAAGGAAAUCGGAGUCUAAAGAUAGAAAGAGUGAACAGAAGGAUAAGCAGGUCAGGGGCAUUCCGUUUAAGACACUUUCGGAGCAACUGAAUUCUGCUCCAAUAGAUAGCGAUGAUAUUGCAUCUUCAAGUGCUAAUGUAUAUUGGAGACGAUCUCAGCAGGAGAAAAUCAUUGAUGAACCUGAACCCAGCUUUCGGGCAAACUGCAGUGGAUUGAAUAGGGUUAAAAGGCGAAAAUUUCGAGGUACAAGGAGAAGUCGUAUGAAUUUAACUUCCAGAGACACUGGUGGUCAAAAUGAAUUGUCUGUAGCUUCUAAUACAUUAGCUCAUGGUUCGACUCAUUCAAAGCAUAAAAUGGAAGAGGACAAUGAAAAUUAUGCCAACAAAAAUGUCAUCGGUGGACCUAGAAAUGGGUGUGGUAUGCCUUGGAAUUGGUCAAGAAUUCAUCAUAGGGGGAAAACGUUUUUAGACAUGGCUGGAAGGAGUUUUUCUUGUGGCAUUUCAGAUUCGAUGUUAAGAAAAUGCAGUCCAACUGCACGUGGGAGAGGCAUUUCUGGCACACCCAUAGCAUCUGAUCACUCAAGCUCAUCUGCUAAAUUUGAUGCCGAGGCACUACCUUUACUGGUUGAGGCAUCUGGGUCCCAGGAAAGCAUUGAAAAUGCAGGCUGGCAACGAGAUUACUCUGGGGAAUUGGGAAUAUUUGCGGAUAAUUAUAUUAAACACGAAGUUGAUUCUGACCUUGCUUCAGAAGCAAGGUGUAGUAACCGAAGAAGAACAAGAGGCCAUCAUCGUUCUAGACAUCAAAAUCUGACACAAAAAUACAUGCCACGAACAUUCAAAGAUUUGGUGGGACAAAAUUUAGUAGCCCAAGCUCUUUCAAAUGCUGUCUUGAAGAAGAAGGUUGGGUUACUAUAUGUGUUUUAUGGUCCUCAUGGUACAGGAAAAACUUCCUGUGCUCGCAUAUUUGCUAGGGCAUUGAACUGCCAGUCUUUGGAACAUUCCAAACCUUGUGGAUUAUGCAAUUCUUGCGUUGGAUAUGACAUGGGAAAGAGCAGGAAUAUAAGGGAAGUUGUUCCUGUUAGUAAUCUUGACUUUGAGAGCAUUACUGAACUACUUGAGCAUAUGAUAGCUUCUCAGCUCCCAUCACAGUAUACAGUGUUCAUUUUUGAUGAUUGUGACAGCUUUUCCUCUAAUUGCUGGAGUGCCAUUACAAAGGUCAUUGACCGAGCACCCAGACGUCUAGUUUUUGUCCUUGUGUGUUCAAGUCUAGAUGUUUUACCUCAUAUAAUUAUAUCCAGGUGCCAGAAAUUCUUUUUUCCAAAGCUGAAGGAUGCUGAUGUUAUCCAUACCUUGCAGUGGAUUGCAACCCAAGAAAAUUUAGAAAUUGAUAAAGAUGCACUAAAACUUAUCACAUCAAGAUCCGAUGGAUCAUUGAGGGAUGCUGAAAUGACUCUUGAGCAGCUCAGCUUACUUGGCCAGAAAAUUUCUGUUCCUCUAAUUCAGGAACUGGUUGGGCUCAUCUCUGACGAAAAAUUGGUGGAUCUUCUUGAUCUAGCUCUAUCUGCAGACACAGUAAACACAGUAAAACACUUGAGGUUGAUUAUUGAAAGUGGUGUGGAGCCAAUGGCCUUGAUGUCACAAAUCGCUACUGUAAUUACUGAUAUUCUUGCUGGUAGUUAUGAUUUCAAAAAAGAAAGACCUCGGAGGAAGUUUUUCCGACGACAGCCAUUAUCCAAGGAAGAUAUGGAAAAGCUACGUCAAGCUCUGAAAACAUUAUCUGAAGCUGAGAAGCAAUUAAGAAUGUCUAAUGAUAAAUUGACCUGGCUUACAGCUGCAUUACUUCAACUUGCUCCAGAUCAGCAGUAUAUGUUGUCCAGCUCUGCUGAGACAAGCUUUAAUCACAGUCCCUUAGCCCUGAAUAAUGUGAGUUGUAGGGGUAUAUCAAGGAAUAUUGACCAGCAUGCUGAAAUAUCUGGUGGCGAGAAAGGAUUGCCAACAGAUGUUAAGUUUGCUGGUCAUUCUGACUCAUAUGAUAAUAGGAUUUCCAAAGGCAUUAGUUUAGACAGAAAAAGACAUUCUGGAGUUGGUGUGGCUCCUCAGCAGAAUAUUGCAAGCACUACAGAUUUAAUGAAGUCUAGUGGAAAGCAGGUUUCUGGUAAAACUCAUAAAGCCAUUGAAGAAAUUUGGUUGGAGGUGCUAGGAAAAAUUCGGAUAAAUAGUAUUAAAGAGUUUUUGAUUCAAGAAGGAACGCUUGCAUCAGUGAGUUUUGGUGCAGCACCAACUGUGCGCUUGAUAUUCAAUUCACAGAAUGCAAAAUCAAAAGCAGAGAAGUUGAGAGAGCAAAUCUUACAAGCAUUUGAGUCUGCUCUUGGGUCCUCAUUGAUAAUUGAAAUUAGAUGUGAAUCAAAAAGGGAUACUACAGUGGGGAACCAUUCAUCAAUUACUUUACCUGCAUCUAAAAAUGGUCUGUUACAGAUUAGAGACAUAAGUGGUCAUAUGCCUCAAGCUCAGCUACAGCACUAUGGUUCUGGUGAAGUUGGAAGAGGCGAAAUUGUUGAAAUAGAUGCUUCACCAAGGGAAGCCCAUAAUCAAGGAGAAUCUAAUCAAAGGAAUUUAGAAGGUUCACAAGGAGAAGUAUCAGUCUCUCGUAAGAACUCGACCUUGUCAUCAAUUUCAGAAAGAAGAGAAGGUGGAGCUCAAAGUCGGAGUCAAAGUAUUGUGAGAAGCAAAGUAUCUCUGGCGCAUGUUAUUCAGCAAGCAGAAGGAUGUUCACAGCGAAGUGGAUGGUCCAAACGCAAAGCUGUAUCUAUAGCUGAAAAACUUGAGCAGGAAAACUUGAGACUUGAACCUCAAUCAAGAAACUUAUUAUGCUGGAAAGCAUCUAGAGUAACUCGAAGAAAGGUAGGCUAUCACGGUUGAAAGUUAGAACUCGAAGGCCACAGUCAUUGCUGAAACUUGUUUCCUGUGGUAAAUGUCUUUCUGCGUAGUUAGCAAGGGAGUGCAUCCCUUCACUUCAAACCGACACUUCUCUCAUUAUAUCAGGCUCCGGAAUGAGCUUGAAUCUGGAAUUGUAGAAGUCAAUACAAAUUAUAUCUUAGGUUGAUGAAGAAGCUAGCUUCAUUUUCACACCAUAGCGCUCCGGAUUGGCGGCAGCUUCCCUCCUUAUGUUAACUAAGGAACUGGAAAGGUGCUCCAGUUUACAUUUUUCACAAUAGAAUAUGAUGAUUCGGGUGUAUAUUUUUCUCCUGACAUUUGAACGGUGAAGAUAUAUAUUUUUCUUCCUCUCUAGGAAUUUAUGAAUACGAUGAUUCAGGAAAAUAUGGGGAAAUUAGUCUCUUCUUCCA
Benincasa hispida (wax gourd) is the source of this 5117-nucleotide RNA transcript. It is a transcript of the gene named AAA-type ATPase family protein, with no coding region annotated. The record is from RefSeq and is a predicted model, not a curated record. Lineage: Eukaryota; Viridiplantae; Streptophyta; Magnoliopsida; Cucurbitales; Cucurbitaceae.